GGAGACGUGGCCGAGUGGUCGAAGGCGCUCCCCUGCUAAGGGAGUAGGCGGGAAACCGUCUCGUGGGUUCGAAUCCCAUCGUCUCCGCCA
This 90-nucleotide transfer RNA is filed under the name Dinoroseobacter shibae. RNAcentral describes it as "tRNA-Ser". It matches the Rfam family "tRNA". From Rfam's summary of the family: Transfer RNA (tRNA) molecules are approximately 80 nucleotides in length. Lineage: Bacteria; Pseudomonadati; Pseudomonadota; Alphaproteobacteria; Rhodobacterales; Roseobacteraceae. The record is from RNAcentral. RNAcentral also lists the same sequence under 46 other names.